RNAcentral lists this ribosomal RNA (441 nucleotides) under uncultured bacterium. RNAcentral describes it as "partial 16S ribosomal RNA". It matches the Rfam family "Bacterial small subunit ribosomal RNA", at positions 338 to 795 of the family's 1533-position model. The record is from RNAcentral.
CCUACGGGUGGCUGCAGUGGGGAAUAUUGCACAAUGGGGGGAACCCUGAUGCAGCGACGCCGCGUGAGUGCAGAAGUCUUUCGGUAUGUACAGCUCUUUCAGCAGGGAAGAAGAAAGACUAUACCUGACCAUGAAGCCCCGGCUAACUACGUGCCAGCAGCCGCGUGAAUACGGAGGGGGCAAGCGUUAUCCGGAUUUACUGGGUGUAAAGGUAGCGUAGACGGCAGGGCAAGUCUGGAGUGAAAGGCAGGGGCCCAACCCCGGGACUGCUCUGGAAACUGUCGGGCUGGAGUGCAGGAGAGGUAAGUGGAAUUCCUAGUGUAGCGGUGAAAUGCGUAGAUAUUAGGAGGAACACCAGUGGCGAAGGCGGCUUACUGGACUGUAACUGACGUUGAGGCUCGAAAGCGUGGGGAGCAAACAGGAUUAGAUACCCCAGUAGUC